CUUCUUUAAUUCAUUUUUCGGUGCCAGCUCUUGGUUGGUCGAUCGCCGGCGAAGUUCUCUUCUAAUCUGUGGAGUGCGAGUGACCCAUAAGCCAUGAUUCGAGCAGUCAUAGUGUUGAACACACAGGGAAAACCCCGCCUGCUUAGAUUCUAUGAGUUCCAGCCGCCAGAGAAGCAGAAGGAGUUGAUUCGCAGCAUUUAUGGAGUUCUGAGCAGCAGAGCAGAUAAUGUAAGCAACUUUGUCAAGACGGAUGCAAUUUUUGGUCAAGUAUGAUCCUAAUCUUACCUCAUAUUUGUUCCAUUUACA
Long non-coding RNA from Dendrobium catenatum, 306 nucleotides. RefSeq lists it as uncharacterized. NCBI's taxonomy places the organism in Eukaryota, Viridiplantae, Streptophyta, Magnoliopsida, Asparagales, Orchidaceae. The record is from RefSeq and is a predicted model, not a curated record. The transcript is spliced from 3 exons.